UCGCUUCCUUGGUGGGUUUCCAUGCAGCCUUUUCCACCUUUGUCCCAAGAACUUUGUCGUUCUUGUAGUCAGCGAUCGGUUCUUUCUUCCCAUGAUGGGCGAUGCUCAACUCCAUGUCAUGGGCGCGAGUGGCCAAUUCCUCGAAGGUCCGUGGUUUAAUGCCUUGAAGGAUGUAUUGCAAACCCCAUUGCAUGCCUUGGAUGCACAUCUC
RNAcentral lists this long non-coding RNA (211 nucleotides) under Malus domestica (apple). RNAcentral's name for it is "long non-coding RNA (MDOM_LNC008842)". The record is from RNAcentral. Lineage: Eukaryota; Viridiplantae; Streptophyta; Magnoliopsida; Rosales; Rosaceae.